CCUAACACAUGCAAGUCGAACGGGAAGCGGUGCAUAUUGCUUCGGUGAUAAUGUGCCGUGGAGAGUGGCGAACGGGUGCGUAACACGUAGGUAACCUGCCCUGAAAGGGGGGAUAACCACGGGAAACUGUGGCUAAUACCGUAUAAUCUCGCCGUGGCGGUGGUUACGGUGAGGAAAGCUGAGGCGAUUUGGGAGGGGCCUGCGGUCGAUUAGCUGGUUGGUGGGGUAAAGGCCCACCAAGGCGAUGAUCGAUAGCUGUUCUGAGAGGAAGACCAGCCACACGGGAACUGAGACACGGUUCCGACUCCUACGGGGGGCAGCAAUGAGGAAUAUUGCGCAAUGGGGGGAACCCUGACGCAGCAACGCCGCGUGGAGGACGAAGGUUUUCGGAUUGUAAACUCCUUAACUGGGGGAAGAGAGAGGACGGUACCCCAGGACGAAGACACGGCUAACUAGGUGCCAGCAGCCGCGGUAAUACCUAGGUGUCGAGCGUUAUCCGGAAUUACUGGGCGUAAAGGGUGCGCAGGCGGUGUUACAAGUCCGGCGUGAAAGCUUCUGGCUUAACUGGGAGAGGACGUCGGAAACUGUAGUGCUAGA
This 597-nucleotide ribosomal RNA is filed under the name uncultured bacterium. Its description in RNAcentral is "bacterial SSU rRNA". It matches the Rfam family "Bacterial small subunit ribosomal RNA", at positions 47 to 645 of the family's 1533-position model. The record is from RNAcentral.